Molecule: ribosomal RNA, 818 nt
Filed under: uncultured bacterium
Lineage: Bacteria
Description: partial 16S ribosomal RNA
Rfam family: Bacterial small subunit ribosomal RNA
Source: RNAcentral
AACCAAAAGCGAAAGMGAUSUCCYGGAACAUUACUGUCGCUAAGGCKGAAAGSGUGGGGAGCAAACAGGAUUAGAUACCCUGKUAGUCCACGCCCUAAACGAUGAACACUAGUCGUCGGAAAGCUUGUCUUUUCGGUGAWGCACUUAACAGAUUAAGUGUUCCRCCUGGGGGAGUACGGUCGCAAGAUUAAAACUCAAAGGAAUAGACRGGGACCCGCACAAGUGGUGGAGCAUGUGGUUUAAUUCGAAGAUACCGCGAAAAACCUUACCURGCCUUGACAUUGAUAGAAUCUGCUAGAGAUAGCGGAGUGCCCUUCGGGGAGCUUGAAAACAGGUGCUGCACGGCUGUCRUCAGCUCGUGUCGUGAGAUGUUGGGUUAAGUCCCGCAACGAGCGCAACCCUCGUCCUUAGUUGCMAGCAGGUUAAGYUGGGCACUSUMGGGAGACUGCCUUYGUAAGGAGGAGGAAGSUGMGGACGACGUCAAGUCAUCAUGGCCMUUAUGGCCAGGGCUACACACGUGSUACAAUGGGGCGUACAGAGAGUUGCAAUACCGSGAGGUGGAGCCAAUYUCACAAAGCGUCUYUCAGUUCGGAUUGAAGUYUGCAACUMGACUUCAKGAAGCUGGAAUCAMUAGUAAUCGUAGAUCAGCAWUGCUACGGUGAAUACGUUCCCGGGUSUKGUACUCACCGCCCGUCACACCAUGGGAGUUGAUUUCACCCGAAAUUGGGAAGCUAACCUUCGGGAGGCUACCAYWUACGGUGGAAUUAGCGWCUGGGGUGAAGUSGUAACAAGGUAACCGUAAUCGAAUUCCCGCGGCS